UAAAGGCAGAGAUGACCAUCCCACUGAAACUUUAUCCAUAUUGAACGCAAAUAUACCACAAAGUGCAUUCAUUACCUGAACUAAACAAUCGCGAGUACUUUCUUCUCAGAUAAUAAAAAAUGUAAUCUAAGUAAAAUGAAAGGUGUGGCUAGGUAGAUUUCCAUUUCUUGUUCUUGAUAGCAAUAUUAAUAAGAAGAAAAACCCCCUUUGGCUAAAGCAAGCACCUCUAAAACUCUCAUGAGAAUGACAACCAUGAUGGCCAUCUCUAGGGAAGAUGAUAAUGCAAAACGAUCAAUCUUGAAUAUUGAUGCAGACGUUAGCGGCAAAAAUGAAGGAAUAGAUAGAUAGGCCAUGGAUAACAGCUAGCAAUUUGUCCUUUCCAUGCAAAGCAUAUUGCAG
This 399-nucleotide unclassified non-coding RNA is filed under the name Hevea brasiliensis (rubber tree). The record is from RNAcentral. Lineage: Eukaryota; Viridiplantae; Streptophyta; Magnoliopsida; Malpighiales; Euphorbiaceae.